UACGUAGGCAGCGAGCGUUGUUCGGAAUUACUGGGCGUAAAGAGUGCGUAGGCGGUGUUCUAAGUCUGGUGUGAAAUCUCCCGGCUCAACUGGGAGGGUGCGCCGGAAACUAGGAUGCUAGAGGGUGGGAGAGGUAAGCGGAAUUCCUGGUGUAGCGGUGAAAUGCGUAGAUAUCAGGAGGAACACCGGUGGCGAAGGCGGCCUUCUGGACGGAUACUGACGCUGAGACGCGAAAGCGUGGGGAGCAAACAGG
This 253-nucleotide ribosomal RNA is filed under the name uncultured bacterium. RNAcentral describes it as "partial 16S ribosomal RNA". It matches the Rfam family "Bacterial small subunit ribosomal RNA", at positions 524 to 776 of the family's 1533-position model. The record is from RNAcentral.